Molecule: long non-coding RNA, 2246 nt
Organism: Papaver somniferum (opium poppy)
Lineage: Eukaryota; Viridiplantae; Streptophyta; Magnoliopsida; Ranunculales; Papaveraceae
Exons: 3
Source: RefSeq, a predicted model, not a curated record
UCCUCUUGUCAGUACUUUCUCGAGCAUUGGCCGUUCACCUCAAACCUGGAAGGUGAAUCUCUAAACUCACAAAACCUUUAAACCCAAACUUUGAUCUCAGUCGAUCUGUUAAACCCUAGUGAAUCAACUUUCUUGUUUACGGCGCCUAUGCCUCUCUUCUUUUUAAGUUUUUCUUCUAUUCUUUUUUUUAUUCUUUCUCGACUCUGAUCACAUCGAAGUUACUUUCUCUGCAAUUGAUUUUCUUCUUUCUUUUUUUCUUUCAGUUAUGUGAUUUAUUUCUGGGUUUUAUUUUUCUUCCGAUUAUUAGAUCUAAACAACACUUGUGCAUGGUUGUUGUUAGAAUCUUGUUGUUCCCUUGUUCCCUAAGGGCACUUGAGAUAGACAGACAGCAUCGAUGAUGGAGAAAAACCUUGUAAUCAUCCUUGCACUUUGAAUUUUCAUAGUGAAGAAAACUAAUGGGGAAAUAUGAGUCUGAGAUGCUUCUUUGCUUUCAUUUUGGGCUUGUGAUUUUUAUAUGAAAAGGAAAAAAUUUCAAUCUGUAAUUUUUUUUUAUUAUUACCUGGAUCAGUGAUGUUUAAAUACUGCGUUAUCUUCCUGAAAAAAUUCCUCCAAUGAGGAUUUUCAUUCGAUGACAAAAUGCCUACUGAGGUCCCUUCUUCCUAAAACUGAUUUUUUUUUUUUUGCUUUUGGUUUGACUUCAUGAUUUUGAAUGUGUUUUAUUUGAUGUUUCACCUAAUUUCAAGUUGCCAAACAACUUUGUAUGGAUUUCAGUUUGAUGAUAGGUAUUGUCGCCCCAGUCUUACAUGCAUCAAUGGUGCAAGAUGGUGACUGACUUCAAUUUCUGAUUCAAAUAAUUACAUAAGAUACUAUCUAAAAGUCUUUAACUUGUCUAGGUAUUAUCUACUAGCCCACACGUUUUAGAAAGAAGUUUGGAAAACCAUAUCAUUAUCAUUCGUUUUUCCAAUUUCAUCAAGAACAUUGUUGGCACUGACCCAAUACACAUAUUUUGUUUUCCGAACUCUUAGGGUUUAAUCCCGUGGAUUUGAAUGGAAGAUUGAUAUUCAAUAGGUGUUGUGAAACUAAGGUGUCCCUCAAUCAAGUAUUGUCAGGUUCUUAGUUAACCAACCAUGGCCACGUUCGAUUAGCAGUGGUAAAAUUUGGAGAGAUCGUAGAAGAUAUUAAGGAUGAAUCAGAAGUCUUUUUUGGAGAAGUUUGUGAUCAAGUAUGAGCAAGCUCCUGAGCUGUUGAAGAUUUAUAAUCAGGCAUCCAUUCGGCGUGUCUCGGAAGACUCCCAAAGUGAUGAGUUAAUCUUUGCUGCCAAGCAAGUCGAAACCUAGCUACUGGCUCGCUGAAAUUUGUGUGGGUGCAGCUCGAGAUAAGUACAUUGUCUUGGUGUGUUUUUACUUAAACCUUGCUGUCUAUGAGUUCUAUCGUAGCAUAUCCAAAGACACGUAUUAGGCAGAUAAGUGCAAACGAAUUGGACGCCGCAAUAAGUAUUUGAAUUCCUUUAUUCAGUUAGUGGCAUGAAAUGUGCAGUAGAUGUCUUAUUGUAAAACAUUUAUUACAUAGCCUUUACUUGGUCCUUUUGUCAAUUCCUGCUUCUCCUUGGCAUGUUAGGUGUCUGUAUGCUUGUUCCAUUCUCUCCAAAAAAUAAAAUAUGUGUGUACCUAUCACGUGCCUCAUACAUGUUGACAUGAAAAGAAUACAUUGUGUAGGUAGUAAUUUUCUAGUGUUUAACAACUCUACUUAUCUAGAACAUGUGUACUGGAUGACAAAAUUUUGGCUGUAAAAGUAAAGGAAUUUAAGUACAAUUCAGGAAAGAUACUUGUGGUUUGUUGUUCGGUUUUAAGAAAUUUAGUACAAUGUGUUUGCAAUGGCAAGAAUCAAAAUGUGACAUAGUAAUUAAGAUGGGUGCUUGUUUGAGUACUUACCUUUUGUGUUCCUGGGAAGCUCAUAUGCUUGUUUCAUCUAGGUGAAUCGCGGAGGAGAUUUGCAGCUGAACUUAGAACCACAUUGGAUCAUUCUCUGUGGUACAUGUUUGAUCCAUGAAUUUGUAGUUGCUGGAUGCGUAGCUACUUUUGUUGUAUCCAUGAAUUACUUUAAAUAGAUAAUCUGCUACUUGUGUUGUAUCCAUGUACGCGCAUAUGCCUCUCUUCUUUGAGGGUUUAAAGCAAAUUGGUAACCUAUUUUGUUAUUGUUUCUGGACUUCGAUGCCAUUGAAGUUAUUUAUUUGUUUUUGCUUUCAA